This 260-nucleotide ribosomal RNA is filed under the name uncultured prokaryote. RNAcentral's name for it is "partial 16S ribosomal RNA". It matches the Rfam family "Bacterial small subunit ribosomal RNA", at positions 524 to 782 of the family's 1533-position model. The record is from RNAcentral.
UACGUAGGGUGCGAGCGUUGUCCGGAAUUACUGGGCGUAAAGAGCUCGUAGGUGGUUUGUCACGUCGUCUGUGAAAUUCCGGGGCUUAACUUCGGGCGUGCAGGCGAUACGGGCAAUACUUGAGUGCUGUAGGGGAGACUGGAAUUCCUGGUGUAGCGGUGAAAUGCGCAGAUAUCAGGAGGAACACCGAUGGCGAAGGCAGGUCUCUGGGCCACUACUGACGCUGAGAAGCGAAAGCAUGGGGAGCGAACAGGAUUAGA